ACCAGUGUUAUUGUUCAGAAAAAGUUCUCUUAUUUGUUUAACUACUUUGUUUGUUUGUUUGUUCAACAGAUUGGGUGGCCAGCUUCUGUGCAGAAAAAGGGAAAGCACUGACACACUCAACUGAAGAAGUUGUCUUGUGAUGAAACAGCACAUUUCAGUGACCGAUGACAGCAUGGAGAACUAUAAAACAGAAAUUCCUCAGUAGCUGCAAAGCAAAUGUGUUACGAGUGUCAUUUGGAAGUCAGAGCUCAGGUAGUCCCAAGGAUUGGAAUCCACUGUUUCAUGAUCUGUGCUUUGCAACUGAAUUAAGAUUUGACAAGCCUAUAAACACAGCACGAUGCUUCACGCCGCUACAGGGAGGAUAUCUAAAAUGGCAGCAAUAUAAUCACAUCCCUACAAUCAGUGUGGGACUGAGAUAGCUAACAAAUUUUUUGUCGUCACUGUUUUGAAAUCAACGGUUGGUUUUCCUGUGACAUUACUGCAUAUCUAAAACUGUAAUAAAUUAAUAGUAAGAAUGAGAACA
This 523-nucleotide long non-coding RNA is filed under the name Phasianus colchicus (ring-necked pheasant). Its description in RNAcentral is "lncRNA (ENSPCLG00000010463.1)". Lineage: Eukaryota; Metazoa; Chordata; Aves; Galliformes; Phasianidae. The record is from RNAcentral.